GACGUAGGGCGCGAGCGUUGUCCGGAUUGAUUGGGCGUAAAGAGCUCGUAGGCGGCUCGUUGCGUCGGCUGUGAAAACCCGCAGCUCAACUGUGGGCCUGCAGCUGAUACGGGCGGGCUGGAGUUCGGUAGGGGAGACUGGAAUUCCUGGUGUAGCGGUGAAAUGCGCAGAUAUCAGGAGGAACACCGGUGGCGAAGGCGACGUCCUGGACCGGCAUUGACGCUGAGGCGCGAAAGCCAGGGGAGCAAACGGG
This 253-nucleotide ribosomal RNA is filed under the name uncultured bacterium. Its description in RNAcentral is "partial 16S ribosomal RNA". It matches the Rfam family "Bacterial small subunit ribosomal RNA", at positions 524 to 776 of the family's 1533-position model. The record is from RNAcentral.